ACAUCAGGUUGAAACACCGGUUCUCGUAUGAUCACCGAAGUUAAGCAACGUUGAGCCUGGUCAGUAAUCCGGUGGAUGACCGCUUGGGAAUGUCAUGUGCUGUAA
Non-coding RNA from Acanthosepion pharaonis, 105 nucleotides. The record is from the annotation of a GenBank genome assembly. NCBI's taxonomy places the organism in Eukaryota, Metazoa, Mollusca, Cephalopoda, Sepiida, Sepiidae.